GUCUACGGCCCUGCCACCCUGAACACGCCCCAUCCUGUCUGAUCUUGGAAGCUAAUAAGCAGGGUCGGGCCUGGUUAGUACUCGGAUGGGAGACCACCUAGGAAGACCAGGUGCUGUGGGCA
RNAcentral lists this ribosomal RNA (122 nucleotides) under Pteropus alecto (black flying fox). The record is from RNAcentral. Lineage: Eukaryota; Metazoa; Chordata; Mammalia; Chiroptera; Pteropodidae.